Molecule: transfer-messenger RNA, 352 nt
Filed under: bacterium
Lineage: Bacteria
Rfam family: transfer-messenger RNA
About the family: Bacterial tmRNA, also known as 10Sa RNA or SsrA, is named for its dual tRNA and mRNA-like properties. Its role is to liberate the mRNA from a stalled ribosome.
Source: RNAcentral
GGGAAUGAUUUGUUUCGAUGGCAGUACUUUUAUAAAACAGCAGGUUAAGGACGGCCCGUUACCUUGUCAAUCAUCGGGUCAAAAACAACUGUCAAAAACAAUUUGACUCCUGCCUUGGCUUUUGCCUAAGCAGGCAUCGCUUGAUUAAAACUUGAUAGAUUAAAGCGGUGUAAACAAUCAAGUUAUAGCUGAUUUUCCGGCCGAGAAAAUUAGUUGAACAAAAUCGGCCGAGAAUUAUGAAUAUUUCGCCGAAUUUAAGUUCAUAAUUCUUACAAAAAAUAAUUUGGCUAAACCUGUAGAAAUUUUAUAAAAUUAAUGUCAGACGCGAGUUCAAUUCUCGCCAUUUCCACUA